This 112-nucleotide transfer RNA is filed under the name Candidatus Aenigmatarchaeota archaeon. RNAcentral describes it as "tRNA-Ala". It matches the Rfam family "tRNA". Rfam says of the family: Transfer RNA (tRNA) molecules are approximately 80 nucleotides in length. Their secondary structure includes four short double-helical elements and three loops (D, anti-codon, and T loops). Lineage: Archaea; Nanobdellati; Candidatus Aenigmatarchaeota. The record is from RNAcentral.
GGGCCCGUAGCUCAGUGGUAAUUUCGUGAGAAGCAGAUAUAAUCUGCUUCAAUCGCUGAAGAGUGCUCGGCUCGCAUCCGAGAGGCCUCGGGUUCGAAUCCCGACGGGUCCA